GUACGAGGUCUCCACACUAUGCGAAAGCGUGAUGGGGGAAUCCUAAGUGCUAUUACUUCGGUAAUGGCUUUUGCCGACCGUAAAUAGUUCGGCGAAUAAGUGGUGGGUAAGACGGGUGCCAGCAGCCGCGGUAACACCCGCGCCACGAGUGGCAAUCGGUAUUAUUGGGCCUAAAGCGUCCGUAGCCGGCUUUGUAAAUCUUUUGUGAAAUCGUAGGGCAUAACUCAACGACGUGCAUAAGACACUGCAAAGCUAGAGACCAGGAGGUGUGGAAGGUAUUCCGUGGGGAGCGGUAAAAUGCUAUAAUCCUCGGAGGACCAUCGAUGGCGAAGGCAUUCCACAAGAAUGGUUCUGACGGUGAGGGACGAAAGCCAGGGGAGCAAUCCGG
RNAcentral lists this ribosomal RNA (388 nucleotides) under uncultured euryarchaeote. RNAcentral describes it as "bacterial SSU rRNA". It matches the Rfam family "Archaeal small subunit ribosomal RNA", at positions 339 to 727 of the family's 1478-position model. The record is from RNAcentral. Lineage: Archaea; Methanobacteriati; Methanobacteriota.